UAUAAUAGUACAGCAUCAACAUAAUACAUCACUACAUCCCAUAACAUUGCAUAAUAACCAACAAUAAUCAUGAAAAGACAGGGGGCCGAAUGCGUAACAGAGGCGGAACACAAGCAAAAGCAUUUGGUUUAAUCCAAAUAGUGUGUGUUAGACCAUCACACGUUGACUUCAAACAUCUCUCCUUCCUUGCUCACGUAGCAGGUGGGGUGAAAUAAAAGCAG
Molecule: long non-coding RNA, 221 nt
Organism: Sphaerodactylus townsendi
Lineage: Eukaryota; Metazoa; Chordata; Lepidosauria; Squamata; Sphaerodactylidae
Exons: 3
Source: RefSeq, a predicted model, not a curated record